GGGAAUAUUGGACAAUGGGCGCAAGCCUGAUCCAGCCAUGCCGCGUGAGUGAUGAAGGCCUUAGGGUUGUAAAGCUCUUUCAUCAGGGACGAUAAUGACGGUACCUGAAGAAGAAGCCCCGGCUAACUUCGUGCCAGCAGCCGCGGUAAUACGAAGGGGGCUAGCGUUGUUCGGAUUUACUGGGCGUAAAGGGUGCGUAGGCGGAUUUUUAAGUCAGGGGUGAAAUCCCAAGGCUCAACCUUGGAACUGCCUUUGAUACUGGAGAUAUUGAGUCCGGGAGAGGUGAGUGGAACUGCGAGUGUAGAGGUGAAAUUCGUAGAUAUUCGCAAGAACACCAGUGGCGAAGGCGGCUCACUGGCCCGGUACUGACGCUGAGGCACGAAAGCGUGGGGAGCAAAC
RNAcentral lists this ribosomal RNA (399 nucleotides) under uncultured bacterium. Its description in RNAcentral is "bacterial SSU rRNA". It matches the Rfam family "Bacterial small subunit ribosomal RNA", at positions 357 to 773 of the family's 1533-position model. The record is from RNAcentral.